Molecule: ribosomal RNA, 449 nt
Filed under: uncultured bacterium
Lineage: Bacteria
Description: partial 16S ribosomal RNA
Rfam family: Bacterial small subunit ribosomal RNA
Source: RNAcentral
AGCGAACGCUGGCGGCAGGCCUAACACAUGCAAGUCGAACGAAGCCUUCGGGCUUAGUGGCGGACGGGUGAGUAACACGUGGGAACGUACCUUUUGGUUCGGAACAACUCAGGGAAACUUGAGCUAAUACCGGAUGAGCCCUUAGGGGGAAAGAUUUAUCGCCGAAAGAGCGGCCCGCGUUAGAUUAGCUAGUUGGUGAGGUAAAGGCUCACCAAGGCAACGAUCUAUAGCUGGUCUGAGAGGAUGAUCAGCCACACUGGGACUGAGACACGGCCCAGACUCCUACGGGAGGCAGCAGUGGGGAAUCUUGCGCAAUGGGCGAAAGCUUGACGCAGCCAUGCCGCGUGAAUGAUGAAGGUCUUAGGAUUGUAAAAUUCUCUCACCGGGGACGAUAAUGACGGUACCCGGAGAAGAAGCCCCGGCUAACUUCGUGCCAGCCGCCGCAGUAA